Coturnix japonica (Japanese quail) is the source of this 590-nucleotide long non-coding RNA. RefSeq lists it as uncharacterized. Lineage: Eukaryota; Metazoa; Chordata; Aves; Galliformes; Phasianidae. The record is from RefSeq and is a predicted model, not a curated record.
AGUCAACCCUUUGCUAAGCAGUUCCGGAAAAAUGGGGGUAAAACUCAGCUUGUGACACCAGCUGUCAGAGCCCAACUCUGUAUGGCCAUCCUCCCCUCAGCACAUUCCCUGCUUCUCUGGCAGCUCUUCUCGAAAUGUUUGAUAGAAGAGCUCCAUGCACAGUUCUACUCAUCUUACCAGAAGAGCAAUCGACAUAGCAUUGUUUACUUACCAACCAACAGCUCCAAUAAUGUCAGGCGUCCUUACCUUCUCUGUUCUCUUUCAGGGCCCACAGAGAUGAAUGUUGCUACUACUGUAAACGUGAAUAAUUUGAGAGAGGUAGCUGCGGAUUUUCUGCACAGCAUCUCUGAGAUCAUGCAGAAGGCAGAGUCUGAAGCAAUGCCCCACUCCAAAUCGCAUGAUAAUCCAUUGAAAUCAGAGGCAUGGAUUUUGUGAAUUCCUUCCACCAUACUAGGCACAGAAUAGGGUCGAAUUAGCCUGUGAACUGUUGACAAAAGAGGAACUCAUCAUCUCUGGAUUAGAAUAAACGAAUGCAAAACCAAAAUAACAACAAGAAAAUAUUAAUGGAAUAAAUUUGCUUAUUUUGUGUG